AAAAAAAAAAAAAAAAGCAAGGAUAUUCAGACAUACUCCAACACGGAUAAACCUGGAGGACAUAAGGCUAUGUGAAAUGAGCCAGUCACAAAAGGACAGAUAGAUUUGACUCCACUUUUAUUAGGUCCUAGAACAGGCAAAUUCAUACAAGUAGAAUAAUGAUUAGACCAGGGGCUGAUGAGGGGAAGAACGGGGGAACUGGGUAUGGGGUUUUCGUUGCGGAAGAUGAAACGCUUCUGUAGGUGAGUGGUGGUGAUGCUUGCACAGUGUGAGUGCACUUUAAUGCCUCUGAACUUGAAGACCGUUAAUAAGGUAUAUUUGAGGGGGGCUGUCGGGUCGGUCUCUGCCCGCAGCUGUGGCNNNNNNNNNNNNNNNNNNNNNNNNNUAGUUGGCCAGAAUGGUCUCGGACCUCGUGAUCCGCCCGCCUUCGCCUCCCAAAGUGCUGGGAUUGCAGGCGUGAGCCACCGCACCCGGCCAGGACCUGGUUUCUUAACCGGCACGGUGGCUUACGCCGGUAAUCCCAGCACUUGGGGAGGCCAAGGCGGGCGGAUCACCUGA
This 558-nucleotide long non-coding RNA is filed under the name Aotus nancymaae (Ma's night monkey). RNAcentral describes it as "lncRNA (ENSANAG00000038546.1)". Lineage: Eukaryota; Metazoa; Chordata; Mammalia; Primates; Aotidae. The record is from RNAcentral.